CAUAAGCACAUGGCAGCUCAGUGGAUAUACAAAAGCAGCCCAAGGGGAAAGCCCAAGGCAAAGCUUGAAAAGGACACAGUGGACAACAGUUGUGUUAUUCAGUACUUGGUGAUCUCCCUCCGCAUGGAGGCGAAGUGGCAAAUGGAAGGAGGCCAUCAUUCGUCAAUGAGAUGCUGUGGAGCAACGAGAAGGCAAGUGUACCUGCUGAGCAGGACCGCGGCUUGAUAGCGGCAGAUAUCCAUGGUUGGAAGCUGGCGAUGGACCUGGCAAAAGCUGUGAUUAGCAUGUGGAAGCCCAGGAUGCCGCAGGGCUGAAGGAGGCUGAAGUUUGUGCACGUAAGUUGGUUGAAAUGCACCUUCAGAAGGCCAUUGACAAAAGCUGUGUGGAUAUUUGUGGGCUGAUGCUGGGGUAAGUAUGAAUGGAGAGUGUGGACAUAGGUCACCCACCAGACCCAGGUAUGCCUGGGUAUUGCAUGUUCAGAUAGCGGUGUAGGCUGCCCUCCAGGCUCUGGGUGAAUGAACCACUGGAUGUUUAUGGGUGGAAGCCAGCGAAGGUUGGCAGGCUGGCCAGUGGAGGUGGCUGGAUGAUAAUUGUUGAAUGAGGGCCAUUCCCCUCACCGUAUCUGUGUUUGCCUUUCAUGGAUAUUCACAAGCCGACAAGGCUUUCCCCAAAAGCAGCAAUGAAGGGGACAGCAGAGCUUAAGCAAGCCAUCUUCUACUUCUAAAUCAAGGUAUUUCUAAAUACAUCUAACUAAUGCUCAUGACAUUCCCCUUUCCAGUACCAGGAUAGGAGGCUGUGCAGAUGCAUCCCUAAGCAGUUCCCACGGGCUACAAACUUCCUGUGAUGUCACAAAUGGGCGGGGUGGCUGAGGGGAAAGAGGCUGUUUCUAGUGGGAGGCGGCUGGAAGAAGGGAGAAACCCUAGUAGAAGGUUCAGGGGAAGUUGGGUAGGUAGGCAGGGCCAGCUGGAUAUGCAGAAGUUGAAUAUGGUCUGACUCCCUUGUCUAUUUGCGUUGCCAACAUUUUGUUCUCUCAUGGCUCCUGUACCUGUCUCACCUAGAUUGCUUGGCAAGAGCCCCAGCCCUUUAAUGGUUCCUGCAGAGCACCCGCAAUAUAUAUAUAUAUAUAUAUAUAUAUAUAUAUAUAUAUAUAUAUAUUCAACCAGGCCUGUUGAUUGAUAGCUGGGCUCUAAACUGAUGGCUAACAGGCCAAGAUCAAAAGCAUUUUGAAACAAGAUAUUAAAUGUUAAAUAAUAUUCAACAUUAAGUUUCCUCUCAAACGUGUAACAUUAGUGGAACUCCAGAGCAUACAGAAAUUUGCUCCAGAGGAGCCACUCUCCUCCCUCUUGCAAUGGAGAGUGGAAACGGGGGGGGGGGGGGGGGCCCGACAAUGCAUAAUUCCGAUACACUGCUACUGCUGUUAAUCUAAUCAUUUGCAUUUUAAUAGUUGGGUUGUUAUUUCUUUUCUGUUUGCUUUUUAUCCCUAAGUCAAUUUGAGCAGCUCCUUUGUGAAGGAGGAAAGCAGGCUAUUCAUUUUAUAAAUUAACUGCAUUCAGCUGUGUCUUUGAAAUUCAACCCCCUCUGUGCCCGCUUUAAACUCUGUAACAAGCACACAAGCGUCACACUUUGCUGAAGCUAAAGCAGAUCACAUUAUGUUCUUCUCCAGGAACAGUGACCACAUACAUGCCACCUUGGGUUCCAAGAUGGAAGAACAUGCUUGAUAAUUUUAAGGAGUGAGGAAUACAGUCAGCAUUGGCUGGAGACCUGCUCCUAACAGUCACAACCCCAACACUUGUCUUGUUUCAUACUCUCUCUUUUUCAACAUACCAGUCCUAAACUGCGUCAGGGCUCCUUACAGCUACUUUUGUAAACAAGGAGAUGUGGCCAGUCUAGGCGUGUUUUUGAAUCACAUUGUUAAAGUCAUAUCUAGUUAGACCCAGAAGAGAUUACCUUCUUGGUCUCUUUUGUACUAAGAGAAUACAGCGAGAAUAUCUGCUUUGCUAAACACUUUAUGCUUCUGGCAUAAAUAGACAUUUUAAAAAAUUCAUGGCUGAAGUUUGUUGCUGGUUUCUGAGAUAAUGCAGUAAAUUCUUCUCCGCAUAAAAGUGUCACUUUUACAAAUGAAAAUUAAGAUGAUUUGUAGCAUAUUACAAUUGCAAUUAAGCUAUAAUGAGUCCCCCCAAAUUACACAUGAUGUAGGUUCUCAUUAUAUAAUAUAAACACUUCUUUACUGGGUUUCCUUUUCUUGGCUUAUGGUGUUUUGCAUCUGCCUUUUCAAUUUCCAAAGAAUGCAAUAACCUGAAACAUAUCGAAUGCAUAGCAUAUGCUCCGAGUGGUAUAAUAAAUGUUAUUUGAAAUGAAAUUUCCUUGAGCCAUGAAGCUUGAUCCUGUCCAUGAUUAUGUGGAAGUAAGUCUCACUGAGUUCAACAGAAGCUACUUCCUAGUAAGCAAUCACAGGACUAUGGCCAUAAUAGCUCAAUUCCAUUUCAAUUUAAGUAACAAAAUAGGGUGGUUUUGUUCCUCCCUGAUCCCAUUAUUCUCACUAAUACCACUUGUUCUGGAUCUUGCCAUCUUGUGCUUUCAAUACAUGGCAGCCCUUCUCAGAUGUUCGAAGGAAUGUGGAUAAGUCAGCGAAGGAGCCUGACUGCCACCACAAUGCUGUACUCCCACCCUGAACAUUCCUUUCACUCUAUGACAGGGGUGAGGAGCUUCCAGCCACAGGCCUAGUUAGACACAGCAUUUGGCCCAGUUUGGCCCACAAGUCCAUAUUCUCCAGACCAUGCCCAUCUACACCACAGCUGAUGUCAUCAGGCAUGCAUGGGGCAGGUGAGGAUGUGGCUCCAAAGGAAGAACGGGGAGCUUAAAGCAAGUUCCUGAUUGCUCCUUCGCAAGUGAGGCUUGCUGGCUGCGCUGACACUGAGCCCAGCUAGGAUCAGCUGCACUAGGAAGUUCCCCACUAGGAACUCCUCAAUAGGGAACUCCUUAAUGCAGCUGUUGACUGGUAAUUGCAGUGAGCUGCUUUGAAAACAGAUUGCCAACACAGAUCAGCUUGAUGGAUCAGCAGUUACAGUGAGCCCCUUUGAAGUUGCCACCUGACAUCAUAAUGGGGGGGAAAGACAAAAUACCUUAUGAAAUCACUAAUAGUCAUAUUAGACAAUACUGGGCUUGAUGAAUUUAACAUCCUUGUUACGCUUCAGCAUAAUUUCUAUAAACACCACCUUUUCUUGAAUACAAAUUUGGAUAUUUGGAUGGUAUCUAUAUGUGUCAACUAAGAUGGGUGCAUUGAUGUUUAAAUGUAUUCUUAGUGUGAGCUGACAUUCUCAUGACUUUUGAAAUUAUUAUUUAGUUUUAAGUUUUCUUCUUUCAUGAAUUUGCAAUAAAAACCAACCAACCAAAAAACCCAGCCUCCAUCCAUUGGGGAAACAGGCAGUUGGUAACUUGUGUUGUUCAAGUCGUAACUAGAAAGGCAGAUAUAAAAAUAUAUCUAAUAAAGAAAGUAUGCAAAGUUGCUAUGCAACAUGGCCCCAGAGAGACAUACCCUGCACCUCUGCUGUCAUGUAUUGGAAACAGAGGAGCAGAGGAGGGAAAGAACUGGAUCCAGCUCAGGGGAGAGGUGGUGAGAUGUCCGCAUUGUCAGAGCUGUGGAGGAGCGCUGAGUGGCAGUAAUCACUGUGGUAUGAUUACAGGAUGUUGGGGGGUGAUGGAGAGGCAGCAGCAAGUGGGUGACCUCAGACAGCAAUGUAUCUUGGGCCUUCGCCGUCUUUCCCAUAGGACUUAGUGGUGCAUUGUGCCAGGGCGUCGGCCUCUCAGGGGCAUGCCAGCCAGCUACUAUAUGGCUGGCGGAUGUGCAGCUUCCCUCCCAAGCCUCUGCGGGGAUUGUUCUCCUGCAGCGGCAUGGGGGAGAGUUGCGGUCCCCCCCCCCGAUGGCUGGCAGUGCUCAGCUUCACCCCCCCCCCACUAUCCGUGGUAAUUUGGGGGCGCUGGGCGGAUAUUUGCACCCUGGCAUUGCAUCUGCUAAAGACAGCCCUGCCAGGCAGGAAUAUAUAUUUCAGUCAUCUCUCUUUCACUCUCCCUCCACUUGACCAAAUUGAAAACUGCAAAUUGCUAUUUCUGCAGGCACAGAAAUCACCCAUCUUCUCUAUCACUUUACCCACAUUUUGCUAUUUCACUUAAAAUGCCCACAGAAGAUCUGCAGAUCUCAGGGGACCAUCUCCUCACAAUUAGGUUCCAGGAAGAGCCAUUAUGUGCUGUUAGGAAACAAUUUCCCUGACAGAAGGAUGUGGUUGGCCAGCUUUAACAGCAUAACGCAUGGAAGUUUACGCAUUAUCAUGUACAGCUUUUGCCAACAGUUCACAAUGGCUGAGACUGAUGUGAGUUGCUGUCCAAAAUAUCUGGAGGACACAAGGUUGGCAAAGAUGAUCUACUAACUUUUACAAAAUCCCCCCCCCCUUAAAUUCACAAUGUUUUGCAGCAGAAGUAAUAGCUCUCUCACUAGUAAUGAGAAGGCAGGCAGUUAUAAAAGAGCAGCAAAGGGAUCUUUGUUACCUUGGCAUUCUGCUUGCUUGUUAUUCUUAUGGGAAAAGAUUUGGUAAUUACAAAAAGAGAAGUAAGCAAAGGUACUAAGACAGAAAAAGGGCAAAUAACAGAAAGAAAUCCCAAUAACGGAUGAAACACUUACCAGGGGCUGUGAGGCAAUGCAGAAAGAAAGCUCUACCUGGCAAUUGUUGCAGAGAGGUCAACUAAACAAUUAUAUGUAAAAAGCACUUGGAGGAGGGCAACCAAAAUGGUCAAAGGCCUGGAAAUGAUGCCUUAUGAGGAACGGCUAAGGGAGCUGGGCAUGUUUAGCUUGGAGAAGAGGAGGUUAAGGGGUGAUAUGAUAGCCAUGUUCAAAUAUAUAAAAGGAUGUCACAUAGAGGAGGGAGAAAGGUUGUUUUCUGCUGCUCCAGAGAAGCGGACACGGAGCAAUGGAUCCAAACUACAAGAAAGAAGAUUCCACCUAAACAUUAGGAAGAACUUCCUGACAGUAAGAGCUGUUCGACAGUGGAAUUUGCUGCCAAGGUGUGUGGUGGAGUCUCCUUCUUUGGAGGUCUUUAAGCAGAGGCUUGACAACCAUAUGUCAGAAGUGCUCUGAUGGUGUUUCCUGCUUGGCAGGGGGUUGGACUCGAUGGCCCUUGUGGUCUCUUCCAACUCUAUGAUUCUAUGACAAAAGGAUAUGUAUUGAAUUAGAGGGGAGAGAGAGAGAGAGAGAGAGAGAGAGAAUAUUGGAAACCUGAAAGAAUACCAGACAAGACUGCCUGCUUUAGAUGCUACUUUUUCCUCAGUUCUGACUCCAGCUUUGAAAAGCCUUUGGGCAAAGUGCCGCUGGUUGAGGCCCCUCAUGCAUUAUUAGUUAACUGUGGAGGACUGAUCUGGAAGCCACGCUGGGCAGCAGAGCUCCAUAGCAGCAGCCCGUGGCCUGGAUUAGGCCCACUGUUUAAAUGUCUCACAAUGCCUCAGAGUGAUGCAACAUGGCGUUAUAGCGGGAAAUUAUUUUCACAAGACCAAGUUGUCCUAUACUGUUCUGUGUAUAAAGGUAAUCUGAGCUUGGUUCUCAGGUGUUCACAAACAACUCAGUGUGCGCUUUGGUUAUAUAGUGGGCACUUGUGACUCUGGACUUAGUUUUGCCAAGCAUUUGCCUACAGCUAACGUGCCACUCGGUUGGCAUUUGUCGCAAGGGAAACAAAUACACACUGCUUCCUGUUCAGCUUCCUUGAGGCUACUUUUAGGAACAAGAAGUUCCACUCUCCUGCCAUUUCUCUUUCAUAAGUCUCUACACUGAGAUAUAAAUGUCGUUUUAAAAACUUCUUUUAAAAAGCUCUCUUACAAGUCAUGGAUAUGUCUGAAGAAAUACAAACAUAUUAUAUUCAUAUAUUUGUGCACUAGGACAUGUAAAACAUAUUUAAUCAACCAGGACAUUGCCUGCAGGUCCUGCAGUCUGAGUUGUAUCAUGCGAAAAAGGGAUGUCAUACACUGCAGAGGUAAAACUACAACUGACCUAUGUACACAUUUUAGAAAUCACAACUAUUCUGACAGAAAAGUGGAGCAAGCAACGUAAUGUUAAACAUCUUCAUUUUGAGCCUCAUAACUGGCUGGAGACUUAUAAAUAAUUGCUACAGAGAUACCAACAGGCCCAACAAGUGUUAGCCAAAAGGGAGAAAGCCUGGAUGUGCAUGCUGGACACAUUAACACUGCAUGGCCUCAACCUGGAGGAUAGUUUUUAAUUAAUUUAUUAAUUAUAUUUAAUUUGUAUACCUCCCUAUACCUGCAGGUCUUAGGUUGGUUCCCAGGAUAAAAUCAGAAUAUAUAACCACAAAAUGCAUAAUCAAAAUAAAAACAAAAACAACCCAAUAACCCCCCCAACACAUCUUAAAAAGGCACAGGAUGUCAAUCAACCAAAGGCCUGGUUAAAGAGGAACUUUUUUGCUUGGCACUUACAGGUGUAUAAUGAAGGCGCCAGGCGAACCUCCCUGGUGAGAGCAUUCCACAGACAGGGAGCCACUGCAGAAAAGACCUGCUCUCAUGCUGCCACCCUCUGGACCUAUUGUGGAGGAGACACACGAAGAUGGGCCUCAGAAGAUGACCUCAGGGUCUGGGUGGGUUCAUAUAGAAAGAGGUACCAGCAUCACUUAGCUUCAGCAAAUGAGCACCUUUGGAAUUCCAUCCUCCAAGCUCUACAACUGUCACCUUGGAAACAGCAUCAUUUUUAUCAGAGCAACUGAUGAAGGUGCUGAAGCUGAAAUGUUUUGCUGUAAGAAUUUAACAUUUCUCUUUUGCUUAUCAUUGUAGUAGUGAUUGACUGCAUCCUAUCAGGAUCCAGAACAAUCUUCUUCUUCUUUGAAUUUAUAUACCACCCUAUACCCAGAGGUCUGAAGUGUGGAUUGAUGCUUUCAUUUUCUGUCUGUCUCUCUGCAUAAACACCCACCUUUGCCCACUGAAGUCUAGAAUUGUGUCUGGUGUCUUGCUAUAUAUAGCAGUACUCUCAACAAGACACAUAGAUGGAAAAGAUAAUCUGAAAAUUACCGUAUAUCUUAAAAAUGUAAAAAUGUAAUUAGACACAUAUGCCUUUAAAAUGGCAGCACCAAAAAUUAUCCUUAAUUUAAAAGCUUGAAAUCACCAACCUGACCUGUCUUGUGGAACAAAACAUUAUGUCUGUUUACAACCACAAAAGUUUUUGAAUGUUUCAGUGAAUCCAGAAGUUAUACAGAAGGGUAAAUCCAAAAGCAUUUAUUAUUUAACCACUGCUGGGAAAAAUCCACCAGGAGCAAGCUGGUUUUUGUAUCAAUAGAUUAUGAAUUUUCUCAAACUCUGUGGUUAAUGAUGAUCCCUUAUGAAUACCCUCUUAGCUGAAAUUUUAUUUUGUGUAAUGAAAUGGGAACAAAAUCUUAUGAAUAUGCCAGUAGUCUGAAGCCUUAUCUAAUCUACUAUUUGUUUGAGGAUAGUCUGAAUUAAUUCCUCUGCAUAUAUUAGACUAGAAUUCCUAGAAUUGUCUUUGAUAUCUAAAAUAAUUCUACAAAGCGGAAACAUUCUUACCAACCUGUAUUUAUUGCAGUCCAUUUAAUAUCAAUAAUAAUUUAAUGGAAUUUAAUAGAUGUUUUCAAUUCUUCACUUAGAAAAGACAAGAGAGAGAGAUUGUAUUUAUGAAUCCACCCCUCUUUUGAUUACUGUGCCCAAUCAACAAUCCCCGCUGAUUAAUAAUCAUGGUUGAAAAGAAUGAAAAAGAAUCUUAACAUGCUGAGUGAAUAUUAAAUUCGGGUGAGGAGGAAGGAAAAAAGAAUGGAGAGGGGGAUUUGCAUAUGUGAGAUUCAUGUACAUAUAGGGGUAGCCAAGCUUUAUUCGGUCAAGGGUUACGUUCCCUCUGAGAUAAUCUGUCAGGGUCCUUGUGAUGGUGAUAGGUGGAGACAGAGAUGAUGGCUGGACCCAGAACAAAUGUGUUCCUGAUUAGCUAACCCAGAAUGAAGACCACCAUGCCUGAAUUUUCAUCAUGGUUACCUCAGAUUACAAUUCCCAAGCCUAUCUAGGUCUACUAAAAGGAAACACAAAAAUCUGUGUUUGUGGCAUUUUUCUCAAAUAAGCAUACAGGUAAUUUUCUUUAGUGCAAGAGUCCCAUGUAGCCACUGUACCAGAAGUUUCAUUUUGGGUGUUUAUGCACAUACACAUGGCAGAAACCUUUCAGUUUGUUCUCAGACAGCUGCAGGUCCCUGGCUGGGGGACUUUUUCCUAGGUCCCAUAACCAGGGGAAAAGCAAACUAAAGCCAAACUAAAAACAAAUUAAAAACAAAUACCUUUUAUAUAAAUCACAAUAAGAUCUAAAAUAAAGACGCAAAAUUUAACAUAAAUACAGUGGUACCUCAGGUUAAGAACUUAAUUUGUUCCGGAGGUCUGUUCUUAACCUGAAACUGUUCUUAACCUGAAGCACCACUUUAGCUAAUGGAGCCUCCCGCUGCUGCUGCGCCGCCGGAGCACAAUUUCUGUUCUCAUCCUGAAGCAAAGUUCUUAACCUGAGGUACUAUUUCUGGGUUAGCAGAGCCUGUAACCUGAAGCGUCUGUAACCCAAGGUACCACUGUAACAGCAACAGCCCCUGCCCAACAAUACCCCCUUCUAAACAAUACCAUAGCCCAAGCGUUUGGGUGGCCCAAACAGAAAAGCAAAUGAAAAGAGGAAUUCUUUUUCUUAUUUGCAUCUCAGGACUUGUCCACACUUCUGCUUCUCCCAUUGCUAGAGAGUUUGGGUCUGAGCAGUUUUCUGCUUGUCCCAUGCUUUGUAGGCAUGAGUCCAAGCAGAUUUGCCUUUGCCCUACCACUUUCCCCGGGAAAACCCACUAUUUAGCGCUAAAUCGAACAAACAGCAAUCUGUAGAAAAACCUGAUUGCUGUUUGUUCCAAUUCAGUGCUAAACUAUGGGUUUUCACAGGGGGAAGCUGUGGAGCAAACAGGUGUGUGAUUAAGCCAUCAAUCAGAUAAGACUUUUCCCCACACGAGAUGAUGGUUUGUGGCUUGUAAAGGGUUUAAAGGAGAUUGACUGUAACCAUCACUUUUUCUAUGACUGAGUGGUUGGGAUUUGUGUUUGUGUGUCCACCACUGAUCCUGCCGCCUCCAACCAGUUCGGUUCAGUCAGUGUAAGCAAGCCUCAGAGCUGUUCCUGCUUGUUAUCUCUUUGAUAAAGCAAAUGUCUGCUAUGGUGUGCGGCUAACCGGGAGGUGUGCAAUCAUGUGAGCUGGGUGUGCAAGGGACUUGCCUAAUACUGCCUGCUGUCAGAGCAACGCCUGUUCUCCAGCGAUAUCCCAGUCGUGUGAUUAUAGCAUACAGAGACUCUCCUCUCCGGGGAAGCCAGCACGCUCCCAGGCAAUGCGAUAAUCCGCUGGAGAAAGGGGAAGCAGGGCUUUGAAGUGCACAACAUUGCUGGUGGUGCAGGUAUAACAAGCAGCCGAUUCCAGACAGCUGUAUUUCUGGAGAAAAGGGCACGUUAAAGCAAAAUAUCACAGCUGUAAUCAGCAAGUGAUUCAGGGAAUAAUGUUAUUUAUGGCUUGCCUCUAUGCAUAUUUGACUCAAGAGUGAUUUGUUUUUCUUAUUGUCACUUCUUUCAAUUACAUACUGCCUUUGUCUUCCAAGGAUCUCAAGGUGGUGUUCAUGGUUCUCCUCCUUCCCAUUUCAUCCUCACAACAACUCUGUGAGGGAGGUUUAGGCUAAGAGAUGGUGACUGGCCCAAGGUCACCCAAUGAGCUUCAUGACUGAAUGGGGAUAUGAACCCUGGUCUCCCAGGUCCAACACUCUAAUCAUUACGCCACACUGUUACAAAAGCUUGUACAGUGUGUGCAAUAUUAUGAUGUUACAAUAGCAUCAUACUAUUGCAGCUUCAAGACCAUUAGUAACAACCCAAAGGUGUCAUAGCAUAUACAAAGCAAGCAAACAAACAAAGAAACAAACAAAGAAACAAACAAACAAACAGUAGAUAAUAAGAGGAAGAAAUGGUAACAAACCAGUAUAAAUCCAGACAUCCAUAUUUCCCAAACUGGCAUGGAUGGUGAAUUUCAGGCAUCCAAGGCUAAAGCAUAAGAAACACCAGAUGACAUAAAAGUGAUCCAUCCUUCUGGAGACACAUAAUUUAUUUGUGUGUUUUUUUCUACAACCGCCAAGGUCCCUAAGCUCUUAUACAACAAAGACAGAUGUAGAUUUUUCAUGUUUUUCCAUUGUUGGGCUAUUGAAAUCCAAGCUGCAGCUAACAUCCAUGUUGCAAGCUCGUUCAUAUUAUUGGUCUACAUAUUCAGUCGUGACAGUUGUGGGGAGGCCUAAACAGGUGAUUAUUAUUUUUUUUAAAUAGACAUUUCUUGGUAUACUUGAGACCAGAAUAAUGAAACCAAAGGCUGAUUGAAUGCAGAGGGAUUUAUUCUAAACAUAUUAUAUAGCCUGCUCACUGUUUAAUCACAAAGACUGAUAUUUGUAUGUUAUGAAAAGCAAAAGGCAAACAACACAGCACAUCCCCCAAAAGAAACACAUCACCCAAAGAAAAGAUGCACACACACACUCAUAUCACACCAGUUCCUGUGGUUUGUGGUAGAAAGUACAGUUCAUGUAUUUCUAUUUAAAUAACAACAGCAACAGCAGCAACAACAACAACAACAACAGAUUUGUGCAAAGUGCUAAUGAGAAUUUUUAUUAUCUCAGUGUGUUUAAGCUGGUGGCAGCCAAGUCAGCAAAAUUUUUAGCAUCUGCCAUUAAAAUAAGGGCCGCUGUGGUGCUCUCUGAGACUAUAAUUUUUAAUCUGACAAUUUUAUUUGUUCAGUUGUGCCAUUAUGUUUGAUGUUGUUCUCUUUAUAUGAAUUGCAAGGGCUGGUGGCUGAUGCAGAUCCAUUUCUAUCCUUCUACCGAUAGACUCCCCUUCAUGGAUCACUGCCUUGCUGUGGCGAAGGGGCUUGAAUAACUCAGAGAAGCUCUGAGCUAUGCCGUGCAGGGCCACCCAAGACGGACAGGUCAUAGUGGAGAGUUUUGACCAAAUGUGAUCCACCUGGAGCAGGAACCAGCAAGCCACUCCAGUAUCCCUGCCAAGAAAACUCCAUGGACAAAGACAAAUGGCAUAUAAAAGUUAUGACGCUGGAAGAUGAGCCCCUCAGGUCGGAAGGCGUCCAACAUGAUACUGAGGAAGAGCGGAGGACAAGUACAAGUAGAUCCAGAGCUGAUGAAGCGGCUGGGCCAAAGCCGAAAGGACGCUCAGUUGCGGAUAUGCCUGGAAGUGAAAGGAAAGUCCAAUGCUAUAAAGAAAAAUAUUGCAUAGGAACCUGGAAUGUAAGAACCAUGAACCUUGGUAAGUUGGAUGUGGUCAAAAAUGAGAUGGCAAGAAUAAAUAUUGACAACCUGGGCAUCAGUGAACUAAAAUGGACGGGAAUGGGCGAAUUCAGUUCAGAUGACCAUCAUAUCUACUACUGUGGGCAAGAAUCCCGUAAAAGAAAUGGAGUGGCCCUCAUAGUCAACAAAAGAGUGGCAAAAGCUGUACUGGGAUGCAAUCUCAAAAAUGAUAGAAUGAUCUCGAUACGAAUCCAAGGCAGACCUUUUAACAUCACAGUAAUCCAAGUUUAUGCACCAACCACUGGUGCUGAAGAAACUGAAAUUGACCAAUUCUAUGAAGACUUACAACACCUUAUAGAAAUGACACUAAAGAAGGAUGUUCUUCUCAUUAUAGGGGAUUGGAAUGCUAAAGUAGGGAGUCAAGAGAUAAAAGGAACAACUGGCAAGUUUGGCCUUGGAAUUCAAAAUGAAGCAGGGCAAAGGCUAAUAGAGUUCUGCCAAGAGAACAAGCUGGUCAUCACAAACACUCUUUUCCAAAAACACAAGAGACGACUCUACACAUGGACAUCACCAGAUGGGCAGCAUCGAAAUCAGAUUGAUUAUAUUCUCUGUAGCCAAAGAUGGAGAAGCUCUAUACAGUCAGCAAAAACAAGACUUGGAGCUGACUGUGGCUCAGAUCAUCAGCUUCUUAUAGCAAAAUUCAAGCUUAAACUGAAGAAAGUAGGAAAAACCACUGGGCCGGUAAGAUACAACCUAAGUCAAAUCCCUUAUGAAUACAUAGUGGAAGUGAGGAACAGGUUUAAGGAUUUAGAUUUGGUGGACAGAGUGCCUGAAGAACUAUGGAUGGAGGCUCGUAACAUUAUACAGGAGGCAGCAACUAAAACCAUCCCAAUGAAAAGGAAAGGCAAGAAAGCAAAGUGGCUGUCCAACGAGGCCUUAAAAAUAGCGGGGGAGAGAAGGCAAGCAAAAUGCGAGGGAGAUAAUGAAAGAUACAGGAAAUUGAAUGCAGAUUUCCAAAAAAUAGCAAGGAGAGACAAGAAGGCCUUCUUAAACGAGCAAUGCAAAGAAAUAGAGGAAAACAAUAGAAAGGGAAAAACCAGAGAUCUGAUCAAGAAAAUUGGAGAUAUGAAAGGAACAUUUCGUACAAAGAUUACCAUAAUAAAAGACAAAAGUGGAAAGGACCUAACAGAAGCAGAAGACAUCAAGAAGAGGUGGCAAGAAUACACAGAGGAAUUAUACCAGAAAGAAAUGGAUGUCUCGUACACCCCAGGUAGUGUGGUUGCUGACCUUGAGCCAGACAUCCUGGAGAGUGAAGUCAAGUGGGCCUUAGAAAGCACUGCUAAUAACAAGGCCAGUGGAAGUGAUGAUAUUCCAGCUGAACUAUUUAAAAUUUUAAACAAUGAUGCUGUCAAGGUGCUACACUCAAUAUGCCAGCAAAUUUGGAAAACUCAGCAGUGGCCAGAGGAUUGGAGAAGAUCAGUCUACAUCCCAAUCCCAAAGAAGGGCAGUGCCAAAGAAUGUUCCAACUACUGCACAAUUGCACUCAUUUCACACGCUAGCAAGGUUAUGCUUAAAAUUCUACAAGGCAGGCUUAAGCAGUAUGUGGACCGAGAACUCCCAGAAGUGCAAGCUGGAUUUCGAAGGGGCAGAGGAACCAGAGACCAAAUUGCAAACAUGCGCUGGAUUAUGGAGAAAGCUAGAGCGUUCCAGAAAGACAUCUACUUCUGCUUCAUUGACUAUGCAAAAGCCUUUGACUGUGUCAACCACAGCAAACUAUGGCAAGUUCUUAAAGAAAUGGGAGUGCCUGAUCACCUCAUCUGUCUCCUGAGAAAUCUCUAUGUGGGACAAGAAGCUACAGUUAGAACUGGAUAUGGAACAACUGAUUGGUUCAAAAUUGGGAAAGGAGUACGGCAAGGCUGUAUAUUGUCUCCCUGCUUAUUUAACUUAUAUGCAGAAUUCAUCAUGCGAAAGGCUGGACUGGAUGAAUCCCAAGCCGGAAUUAAGAUCGCCGGAAGAAAUAUCAACAACCUCAGAUAUGCAGAUGACACAACCUUGAUGGCAGAAAGUGAAGAGGAAUUAAAGAACCUUUUAAUGAGGGUGAAAGAGGAGAGCGCAAAAUAUGGUCUGAAGCUCAACAUCAAAACAAAACAAAACGAAGAUCAUGGCCACUGGUCCCAUCAGCUCCUGGCAAAUAGAAGGGGAAGAAAUGGAGGCAGUGAGAGAUUUUACUUUCUUGGGCUCCAUGAUCACUGCAGAUGGUGACAGCAGUCACGAAAUUAAAAGACGCCUGCUCCUUGGGAGAAAGGCGAUGGCAAACCUAGACAGCAUCUUAAAAAGCAGAGACAUCACCUUGCCAACAAAGGUCCGUAUAGUUAAAGCCAUGGUUUUCCCAGUAGUGAUGUAUGGAAGUGAGAGCUGGACUAUCAAGACGGCUGAUCGCCGAAGAAUUGAUGCUUUUGAAUUAUGGUGCUGGAGGAGACUCUUGAGAGUCCCAUGGACUGCAAGAAGAUCAAACGUAUCCAUUCUUAAGGAAAUCAGCCCUGAGUGCUCACUGGAAGGACAGAUCGUGAAGCUGAGGCUCCAAUACUUUGGCCACCUCAUGAGAAGAGAAGACUCCCUGGAAAAGACCCUGAUGUUGGGAAAGAUCACAAGGAGAAGGGGACGACAGAGGAUGAGAUGGUUGGACAGUGUUCUCGAAGCUACAAACAUGAGCCUGACCAAACUGCGGGAGGCAGUGGAAGACAGAAGUGCCUGGCGUGCUCUGGUCCAUGGGGUCACGAAGAGUCGGACAUGACUAAACGACUAAACAACAACAACAAACCAAUAGACUCUAAAACUAUAAGUAUUCUGAGUCACGGCUACAAUAUGUGAACUGUGUACCCAGAAGAACAGACGUGAAUAGAAAAUAUAACAGAAUCAUACCCUAAGGCUGCAUUCUUAUAUUCACUUGGGAGUAAGCCCAACUGAAUGCAAUGGGGCUUACUUCUGAGAAGAUAUGAAUGGGAUUUCUCUGUAAAACACCGGUGCAUCACCUCUUCAUACAAAGUCAGAUGUAUAAACAGAAUUUAAACAAUUCAAAGCUCAGGUCAUUGGUUUUGCAUAUGAACUUAUUUCUGAAUGUGCAUAUGAACAUCACACAUUGCACGGCAUGAUGAUAUCUACUACAAGUAAUACCAAAGGGCACUGGCACUCCUAAAAUAUGUAAGAUUCCUGCUGAGCUAGAAUGAAUGAGAGAAUUAUUCAACAGGUUUCCAAAUCUGUGCUUAAAACUGAUUAUUUGAAUCAAAUCUAUUCUUGUCAGACAGAGAGGAAGAUGAACUGGGGAAUCUUUAUCAGUCUCAGGGCUGCAUUCCUGGCCAUAUGUCGGGGGUGAAAAUGGCUAGUGUCAAAGUUACCCUAGCUUCUACACAAGCACAAACCCUUCUCUAGCCUCCAUCUAGGUGGCAACAGGCAUUAUUAGACUUCAGCAUGUCAUGCAGGGCCAGUGAAGGGUCUACAUAAGUGCCUUGUGAAUCAGGCCAAUGGCCCAUCUAGUCCAGCAUCCUCUGCUCACCCAGAUGCCUAUGGGAAACUGGCCUGGGAAAAGUUUCAAGGGCCAGACAGAGAGGCUUGAAUUACUGUAUCCUGAAUGUAUGAAAGGGAAGCAAGAUUCCGCCUGCUGAAACCACCCUUGGCAUCAGCAGUGCCAACUUGGCCCUGUGACCAUGGGUGGCUGGGGCCAUGGGUGCCAUGCUGUGUGCAUGGCCCUGGCACUGACAUUUGUGGGUGCCCAGCCCCUUCAUGGGGAAUUUUGUGGGUGCUCAGGCACCCGGGGCCCCAGGGAGUUGGCACCUAUGCUUGGCAUUCACGUGUCCCCCCUUAGUGUGAAAGAGGCCUGCAUGUCUGUUGGUAUACGUGCAUCAGCUUACUUCCCAUAGUUUGGACCUCUGAUCAUCCAGGAUUCCUGACUGCAUGGGCUAACCUUUCAUGUGCCUAGUUGCAUGUGUAUGGUGAAUAUGGAUGAAUCUGUGGUAGGAAUGUCAACGGACAUUUAAUUCGGACCUGUCUCGAAUUUGGCGGCUGACUGUGUCCUCACCUGUUUCGUGUUGGCCGCAGCACACAAUGCAAAUCUCUGUUCACUCCUCAGUUUACCCACUAUGUCAUUGUCUAAUAUUGGGGGGGGUGUGUGUGUGUUGGCACCGUGGAAAACCACACACCCUGUACAUAAAUAUCAUAGUAGUUUUUCUUUGGCCGCUAGGUGGCGUGGUUGUUCCUCUGCACUGUAGCUUACCAUUCCCCCGGAGCUAAUUGUCAGUUUACACUGUGGCUUUUUAAAGGUAUUUUCCCCCCAUGUACUGUUUUCUGCAUGGUAGAACUCACAUGAGCUUUUAAUAAUUACCUGGUGCCAUUCAGAGGUGCCAUAACCUGGUGCCAUUCAGAGGUUUUGGACUACAACUGGAAUGACAACAUAUGGCUACUGGUAGCAGCUGGAAGACUGCAUGUUUUAGAGCAUGUGAAGUGUUGAAUGGAAUCAUAUAAAUAAUCUAUGAUUAUAACCACAUAGGGAAGUUCCACUGGCAGACAUAUUGAGCUGGGAUACUAAUGGGGAUGGUGAGGGAAAGAGAUUCAUUAUAAGCUUAGUCAGCAGAGCAUGAGUCUCUUAAUCUCAGGAUCAAUAUGCAUCCUUGAAAAAUGGCAAGGUCAUUGGAAGACGUACACAAAGGAAGCACCUCUUUCUUAUUCAGACCUGUGGGUGAGAUUGUACUUAAUGUACUGCCAGCUCUGUGAUGGUAUAAUAAAAUUUGUAUUUGUAUUGUACUGUAUAGCUGAAGGACUAUGCCAAAAAUUAAAUGUAACAGAAGCAAUUCUACAAGUAGAGAUACCAGGCAUGAUCUUUUCAGUCCCCACAAAAUCCCUCUUUGAGUGCACAAAAUGUUAGGCAAAUGAGGCAUCAGUCAUUUUAUUUCACAUUUACUGUAUUGACCUGAAUAUAAGAUGCACCCACAAAUAAGCCGCACCUUGUAAAUUCAAGGCACUAUUUUGAAAACAGGAAAACAGUAAUUAGUCUCCUACACCAUCACCCUGUGCAGUGAACAGGUUCUUACUAAUGAAAGACCCUAAGAAGUGAUUUUUAUUUUUAUUUUUUAUUUUUAUUUUUAUUUAGUAAUGCUGCAGAGUCCUGGAACAGGAAACAAUGACAGGUCACUGGAAUGAAGCUUACAUUAAAGAAGCAGUAGUCACCUUACAAGAAUCAAGAGUGCUUUGCUGAGAUAGUCCACAUUGAUCUUGCACUAUACAAGAGUAAGGUAAAAAGAGUACAGUGGUACCUCGGGUUAAGUACUUAAUUCGUUCCAGAGGUCCGUCCUUAACCUGAAACUGUUCUUAACCUGAAGCACCACUUUAGCUAAUGGGG
Molecule: non-coding RNA, 16707 nt
Organism: Podarcis lilfordi (Lilford's wall lizard)
Lineage: Eukaryota; Metazoa; Chordata; Lepidosauria; Squamata; Lacertidae
Source: the annotation of a GenBank genome assembly